RNAcentral lists this ribosomal RNA (253 nucleotides) under uncultured bacterium. RNAcentral describes it as "partial 16S ribosomal RNA". It matches the Rfam family "Bacterial small subunit ribosomal RNA", at positions 524 to 776 of the family's 1533-position model. The record is from RNAcentral.
UACGGGGGGGGCAAGCGUUGCUCGGAAUUACUGGGCGUAAAGGGCUCGUAGGCGGCCAACUAAGUCAGACGUGAAAUCCCUCGGCUUAACCGGGGAACUGCGUCUGAUACUGGAUGGCUUGAAUCCGGGAGAGGGAUGCGGAAUUCCAGGUGUAGCGGUGAAAUGCGCAGAUAUCAGGAGGAACACCGGUGGCGAAGGCGGAUCUCUGGGCCAUUACUGACGCUGAGGAGCGAAAGCGUGGGGAGCGAACAGG